RNAcentral lists this ribosomal RNA (251 nucleotides) under uncultured prokaryote. Its description in RNAcentral is "partial 16S ribosomal RNA". It matches the Rfam family "Bacterial small subunit ribosomal RNA", at positions 525 to 775 of the family's 1533-position model. The record is from RNAcentral.
ACGUAGGGUGCAAGCGUUAAUCGGGAUUACUGGGCGUAAAGCGUGCGCAGGCGGUUUUGUAAGACAGAGGUGAAAUCCCCGGGCUUAACCUGGGAAUGGCGCUUGUGACUGGCGGGCUGGAGUACGGCAGAGGGGGGUGGAAUUCCACGUGUAGCAGUGAAAUGCAUAAAAAUGUGGAGGAACACCGAUAGCGAAGGCAGCCCCCUGGGCCGAUACUGACGCUCAUGCACGAAAGCGUGGGGAGCAAACAG